This 250-nucleotide ribosomal RNA is filed under the name uncultured bacterium. RNAcentral describes it as "partial 16S ribosomal RNA". It matches the Rfam family "Bacterial small subunit ribosomal RNA", at positions 779 to 1029 of the family's 1533-position model. The record is from RNAcentral.
UAGAUACCCUGGUAGUCCAUGCCGUAAACGUUGGGCGCUAGGUGUGGGACUCAUUCCACGAGUUCCGUGCCGCAGCUAACGCAUUAAGCGCCCCGCCUGGGGAGUACGGCCGCAAGGCUAAAACUCAAAGGAAUUGACGGGGGCCCGCACAAGCGGCGGAGCAUGCGGAUUAAUUCGAUGCAACGCGAAGAACCUUACCAAGGCUUGACAUAUACCGGAAACACUCAGAGAUGGGUGCCCCUUUUGGUCG